This 468-nucleotide ribosomal RNA is filed under the name uncultured bacterium. Its description in RNAcentral is "partial 16S ribosomal RNA". It matches the Rfam family "Bacterial small subunit ribosomal RNA", at positions 28 to 507 of the family's 1533-position model. The record is from RNAcentral.
GACGAACGCUGGCGGCGUGCUUAACACAUGCAAGUCGAACGAUGAGACGGGGGCUUUCUUCUCUGGAUGAGUGGCGAGCGCGUGAGUGACACGUGAGCAUUCUCCCCCUGACUCCGGGAUAACUCCGGGAAACUGCAGCUAAUACCGGAGAUGAGCUGUUCAAGCACCUGGAUCAGUGGGGAAGGACUUCUGUCCGGUAUCGGUUCGCGGGCUAUCAGCUUCUUGGUCAGGUAGCUGAUCACCAAGGGUACGACGGGUAGCCGGCCUGAGAGGGUGGACGGCGACAUGAGGCCUGAGACACGGAGCAGACGCGUACGUGACGCAGCAGUGGGGAAUAUUGCGCAGUGGGGGCGAGCCUGAUGCAGCAACGUUGCGAGAGGGAUGACGGCCUUCGGGGUGUAAACAACUGUUAGCAGGGAAGAAGCGAACGUGACGGUACCUGCAGAAAAAGCGACGGCUAACUACGUG